RNAcentral lists this ribosomal RNA (426 nucleotides) under uncultured bacterium. RNAcentral's name for it is "bacterial SSU rRNA". It matches the Rfam family "Bacterial small subunit ribosomal RNA", at positions 917 to 1344 of the family's 1533-position model. The record is from RNAcentral.
GGGCCCGCACAAGCGGUGGAGUAUGUGGUUUAAUUCGAUGCAACGCGAAGAACCUUACCAGGGUUUGACAUCCUGCGAAUCUCUUGGAAACAGGAGAGUGCCUUCGGGAACGCAGUGACAGGUGGUGCAUGGCUGUCGUCAGCUCGUGUCGUGAGAUGUUGGGUUAAGUCCCGCAACGAGCGCAACCCUUGCCCUCAGUUGCCAGCAGUUCGGCUGGGCACUCUGGGGGACUGCCGGUGACAAGCCGGAGGAAGGUGGGGAUGACGUCAAGUCCUCAUGGCCUUUAUAUCCAGGGCUACACACGUACUACAAUGCUACGGACAAAGGGCAGCAAGUUCGCGAGGACAAGCAAAUCCCAUAAACCGUGGCUCAGUUCAGAUCGUAGGCUGCAACUCGCCUACGUGAAGGCGGAAUCGCUAGUAAUCG